GAUGAACACUGGCGGCGUGCUUAACACAUGCAAGUCGAGCGAGAAGUCUUGAAUAGAUUCUUCGGAUGAAAUUGAAAAUGGAAAGCGGCGGCCGGGUGAGUAACGCGUAGGCAAUCUGCCACCUACAAAGGGAUAGCAUUUGGAAACGAAUAUUACUACCUUAUGAAACUUAACUAGUGCAUGCUAGGGAGGUCAAAGAUUUAUCGGGAUGGGAUGGGCCUGCGUCUGAUGAGCUAGUUGGUGAGGUCACGGCCCACCAACGCGACGAUCAGUAGCCGACCAGGGUGAGGGGACGGCCACGUACUAAGAGAGAGACGGGCCAAACACCGGCGGGAGGAGGCAGGAGGAAAGAUUGAACAAUGGGGGAAAGCCGGAGGAAGCAACGGUGCGUGAACAAGGCAGGCCGUUGGGUCAGAAAGUUCUGUUCUAGGGGAGGGAAACUGACGGUAACCGAUGAGAAAGCCCCGGCUAACUACGUG
RNAcentral lists this ribosomal RNA (479 nucleotides) under uncultured bacterium. RNAcentral describes it as "partial 16S ribosomal RNA". It matches the Rfam family "Bacterial small subunit ribosomal RNA", at positions 28 to 507 of the family's 1533-position model. The record is from RNAcentral.